UAGACAGAAGCCUGCUGGUUUUAGGCAUUUAACUGUUAAUUAAGGUGUUAUGGGAUCGAGGCCCAUCUGUCUAG
RNAcentral lists this transfer RNA (74 nucleotides) under Turnix velox (Little buttonquail). RNAcentral describes it as "tRNA-Asn". The record is from RNAcentral. Lineage: Eukaryota; Metazoa; Chordata; Aves; Charadriiformes; Turnicidae.